GGCGGUUUGGCUCAGUGGUAGAACACUUGCCUAGUAUGUGCAAGGCCCUGGGUUCCAUCCCCAGCACCGCCC
RNAcentral lists this transfer RNA (72 nucleotides) under Ictidomys tridecemlineatus (thirteen-lined ground squirrel). Its description in RNAcentral is "Spermophilus tridecemlineatus (thirteen-lined ground squirrel) tRNA". It matches the Rfam family "tRNA". Rfam says of the family: Transfer RNA (tRNA) molecules are approximately 80 nucleotides in length. Their secondary structure includes four short double-helical elements and three loops (D, anti-codon, and T loops). Further hydrogen bonds mediate the characteristic L-shaped molecular structure. tRNAs have two regions of fundamental functional importance: the anti-codon, which is responsible for specific mRNA codon recognition, and the 3' end, to which the tRNAs corresponding amino acid is attached (by aminoacyl-tRNA synthetases). tRNAs cope with the degeneracy of the genetic code in two manners: having more than one tRNA (with a specific anti-codon) for a particular amino acid; and 'wobble' base-pairing, i.e. permitting non-standard base-pairing at the 3rd anti-codon position. The record is from Rfam by way of RNAcentral. Lineage: Eukaryota; Metazoa; Chordata; Mammalia; Rodentia; Sciuridae.